CGAAUUGUACCGCAUUCGCUCCACACUCCUCAACUGCGAUCGAUCGGUACCUUCUUCUCCUCUCUGGCGGUGGAUUGAAAGGGGAGAGGCGUCUUCUGCCGAAUCGAAUCGAAUCGAAACGAAUCGCUCAUUGGGGUUUGCAUCCGACGAUGAUGGUUAAGGAAGGCGGCGCGGAUCUCCUUCCUUCGUCGGAUCCCAAGACUCCUUCUUCAACCGCCGACGCUGGCGUCUUCGGCAAGGGCCGAUACAGGUUCUGGGCGCUUGCGGCCAUCCUCCUCCUUGCAUUCUGGUCCAUGCUCACCGGCACUGUCACCCUCCGAUGGUCAGCCGGCGACCUCAACCGCCUCGCCCACGACUUUGACGUCCCCGUCGCGGUUAACCCGGAUCUCGACGUUCUGGAGAUGGAAGAGCGGGAGAAGGCGGUGAGGCACAUGUGGGACGUGUACGCCCACGCCCAAACUCGCCGGAUCCGGUUGCCGAGGUUCUGGCAGGAAGCGUUCGAGGCGGCGUACCAGGACCUUUCCGGCGACGACCCCGACGCCAGGGACGCUGCCGUCGCUGAGAUCGCUCGAAUGUCGUUGCGGAUGCUCGAUCCAGAGGCUCCCCCACGAAAUCCCAAGGCUGCUGAAAUAAAGAGGAACCAAAGACUUCGAGAUGGCAUUUCUUCGUUGGUGUCAGGGUCCUCGUCUUCUGAUGCUCGAUAGCAGAUGUGUAUUUGGCUUCUGACAAAGUUACCAAUGUCAAGUUACUGCUUCUCCAACAAUCACUGAUAUAAUUAGUUGUUACUUUCAACUUCUCGAUGCUCCAUUCAUGACUUGGUUACUUGUCUGGAUGAAUCCGAGACAAGAGGAAGGAGAAGAAAAUGGAAAAGGACAAGUUUUUUCGUCUGGGCAUGAAUGGCUAUUUUUUAAAAAAGAAAACUUUUUCUCGUGCUGUUCUUUGCUCCAUUCUCUUGCUUAUUCUCCUCCUCCAUUCAUCCAUCCAUGUAAUGAUGUAAACAAGCUAUCAGUGUUGUGUCAUCAGUUUCUUUUGUCA
This is an RNA transcript of Zingiber officinale, 1035 nucleotides long. RefSeq lists it as uncharacterized. The transcript has 4 exons. The record is from RefSeq and is a predicted model, not a curated record. Lineage: Eukaryota; Viridiplantae; Streptophyta; Magnoliopsida; Zingiberales; Zingiberaceae.